AGGGCUGGAGCUUGGCUGGAAGAGUGCUUGCCUAAAAUGCAUGAGGCUCUGGGUUCAAUCCCCAGCACCACCC
This 73-nucleotide transfer RNA is filed under the name Neotoma lepida (desert woodrat). It matches the Rfam family "tRNA". From Rfam's summary of the family: Transfer RNA (tRNA) molecules are approximately 80 nucleotides in length. Lineage: Eukaryota; Metazoa; Chordata; Mammalia; Rodentia; Cricetidae. The record is from Rfam by way of RNAcentral.